This 429-nucleotide ribosomal RNA is filed under the name Pseudomonadota bacterium. Its description in RNAcentral is "Proteobacteria bacterium partial 16S ribosomal RNA". It matches the Rfam family "Bacterial small subunit ribosomal RNA", at positions 355 to 776 of the family's 1533-position model. The record is from RNAcentral. Lineage: Bacteria; Pseudomonadati; Pseudomonadota.
UGGGGAAUAUUGGACAAUGGGCGAAAGCCUGAUCCAGCCAUGCCGCGUGUGUGAAGAAGGUCUUCGGAUUGUAAAGCACUUUAAGUUGGGAGGAAGGGCAGUAAGCGAAUACCUUGCUGUUUUGACGUUACCGACAGAAUAAGCACCGGCUAACUCUGUGCCAGCAGCCGCGGUAAUACAGAGGGUGCAAGCGUUAAUCGGAAUUACUGGGCGUAAAGCGCGCGUAGGUGGUUCGUUAAGUUGAAUGUGAAAGCCCCGGGCUCAACCUGGGAACUGCAUCCAAAACUGGCGAGCUAGAGUAGGGCAGAGGGUGGUGGAAUUUCCUGUGUAUCGGUGAAAUGCGUAGAUAUAGGAAGGAACACCAGUGGCGAAGGCGACCACCUGGGCUCAUACUGACACUGAGGUGCGAAAGCGUGGGGAGCAAACAGG